CCUACGGGUGGCAGCAGUGGGGAAUAUUGGACAAUGGGGGAAACCCUGAUCCAGCGACGCCGCGUGAGUGAAGAAGUAUUUCGGUACGUAAAGCUCUAUCAGCAGGAAAGAAAAUGACGGUACCUGACUAAGAAGCCUCGGCUAACUACGUGCCAAGAGCCGCGGUAAUACGUAGGGGGCAAGCGUUAUCCGGAUUUACUGGGUGGAAAGGGAGCGUAGACGGCAGCGCAAGUCUGGAGUGAAAUGCCGGGGCCAAACCCCGGAACUGCACUGGAAACUGUGAAGCUGGAGUGCAGGAGAGGGAGGCGGAAUUCCUGGUGUAGCGGUGAAAUGCGUAGAUAUCAGGAGGAACACCGGCGGCGAAGGCGGCUUGCUGGACUGUGACUGACGUUGAGGCGCGAAGGCGUGGGGAGCAAACAGGAUUAGAUACCCUUGUAGUC
RNAcentral lists this ribosomal RNA (440 nucleotides) under uncultured bacterium. RNAcentral's name for it is "partial 16S ribosomal RNA". It matches the Rfam family "Bacterial small subunit ribosomal RNA", at positions 338 to 795 of the family's 1533-position model. The record is from RNAcentral.